CUCUGCCUGCCUCUCUCCAGCUUGGACUGCUUGUCAUCAAAUUGUCCCUGGUGCCAAGAAGGAGAGGAAAGAGGAACCCUCUACCAAUAAUAAGAAACAAAAACAUAAUACGUCUACUUCACAGCCAAGAGGGAAGAGGAUGAGGUCUAAUCAGAGCUGUAGCCACCAGCCUACUCCAGAGCCAUAGCAACACCAGAUCCGAGCCACGUCUGCGAUCUACACCAAAGCUCACGGCAACACCAGAUCCUUAACCCACUGAGCAAGGCCAGGGAUCGAACCUGCAACCUCAUGGUUCCUAGUCAGAUUCGUUAACCACUGAGCCAUGACGGGAACUCCUGUGCUGUAUUUUAAAUUAUAGAAAGUUUAGAUAGGUACAGAAACUGUCUAGAGGGAAAUAUUGACUGUUUUAAAAUUUGUUAUUGAGACUCCUUGCCUAUGUAACAUAACAAGCAGCAACCUUGAACCAUGAGCUAUGGGUUAGGUGUACACAAGGCCAUGGUGUUCGUGGAGGCAGGUGCUUCUGUGUACACUUUGGACUCCCCAAGUAGGUCAGGCUACUGCAGGGAUUGUUCUGUUUUGCAGCACAAGGGCAAUUUGGUCGAUAAGGGAGUCAAAGCCUCACCUGAUGCACUACAGUCUCCUGGCAAAUUCAGGUCACUGUAUUAUGAAAAUGCACUGCAGUGUCCUUUUUGGUUGGACUGUACAAAAAUUGUUGCAACCAGAUGUCUAUAACAGAGAAAAAUAGUCCAGUGGCCAGGCAACCCAGAAUUGUAAAGGGUAUUGCCCAUGUUUGUAACAUUUGUCCAGGAAUGGAUGAUGAUUUGAAAAGAUACGGAGGAAUGU
This 843-nucleotide long non-coding RNA is filed under the name Sus scrofa (pig). Its description in RNAcentral is "lncRNA (ENSSSCG00030027539.1)". The record is from RNAcentral. Lineage: Eukaryota; Metazoa; Chordata; Mammalia; Artiodactyla; Suidae.